Molecule: long non-coding RNA, 1060 nt
Filed under: Musa acuminata (dwarf banana)
Lineage: Eukaryota; Viridiplantae; Streptophyta; Magnoliopsida; Zingiberales; Musaceae
Description: long non-coding RNA (MACU_LNC011210)
Source: RNAcentral
UUUGAGAAGUCCAAUUGGAGAUCAUAACCAAGCUCGCCGCAGUUCCCAUGUUCAUCUUUGGGGAAAAUGGGAGACUUGUUCAUCUUCCUACUGCAACCCAGAGACAGAGUACAGAGAGAGGAUCAGCGUGUCCAUGAAGCACAGGAUAAUCCGCAACCAAAGCAUCAUCUGUACCCGAGUGCUUUGCCGUGUUAUUAUGAAGAAAAGCUACAAGAAAUUCCAGAUCAUUUUGCUUUCCACAAGAAAGCACGGGCUGCUUUGUUCUAGAGUGCUAGUUAGGGACUGUCCAAAGCGUAGAGAGCUUGUGUCUCCUAAAUGAAAGCUAAAGAGAAUAUGAACAAAAAUUGAGAAGAAGAUGACAAUCAUCUUUUUCUUGGAAAGAGAUGCGAGUCAUUAUCAUCAGACAAGAAAAAGUAGAGGGACAGCAAAUAGACAGGAAAUUGGAACAAGACAAGAGGAGAACUAAUACCCCAUCAGCAUUGCUUUAGCUCUGAAGUUAGCAGAGCAGCUAUCAGCUUGGUCUUUCUUGGUGGAGCAUCAGCAGCAGUUUGGUGCAGAUAAAAAGAUCCUGAGAGGAGAAACACAGCACGAGAACACAAUCGGCUCUGCUACCUUCUUGUGAGCAUUAAUUCUCUUUCCUGAGCCAACAUCUCUGACAAAGAACAGGGCCCAAACCAUAAAAUCUUUGGCACCUUGUAAGUGUAACUGCUGUAACUUCUCAUGCCGACCAGAAGAUGGUACGCUUUGUUGAGAGAGAAAUCAUGUGGGGUAGAAACAUGUGGCGGUGACGGAUGUCAAGGCAAAGACGACGGCAUAGAACAUGGUGUGUCUUGUUCCAAGUCCGAUUGCGUUUUCCGAGCAGUCCUCAAUGUCAGGCACUAGAAAGGCUGCAGAAACCUAUAAAGAUUCUGGAUUUUCUCAUGUACUAAAGAUCUUUCUUGGAGAUGAUCUGAGAAAGAUUACGCGUCAGAGAAUCUUCUCAUCGACAGUUGCUUCGUUCCCCAGAAUGAAUCUUCCUUUUUUUCUUGAUUCCACAGCUCGACGAAGUGCAAGAACAGAU